GAGCGGAUGACUGGAGCUUGCUCCUUGAUUCAGCGGCGGACGGGUGAGUAAUGCCUAGGAAUCUGCCUGGUAGUGGGGGACAACGUUUCGAAAGGAACGCUAAUACCGCAUACGUCCUACGGGAGAAAGCAGGGGACCUUUGGGCCUUGCGCUAUCAGAUGAGCCUAGGUCGGAUUAGCUAGUUGGUGGGGUAAUGGCUCACCAAGGCGACGAUCCGUAACUGGUCUGAGAGGAUGAUCAGUCACACUGGAACUGAGACACGGUCCAGACUCCUACGGGAGGCAGCAGUGGGGAAUAUUGGACAAUGGGCGAAAGCCUGAUCCAGCCAUGCCGCGUGUGUGAAGAAGGUCUUCGGAUUGUAAAGCACUUUAAGUUGGGAGGAAGGGCAGUAAGUUAAUACCUUGCUGUUUUGACGUUACCGACAGAAUAAGCACCGGCUAACUCUGUG
RNAcentral lists this ribosomal RNA (448 nucleotides) under uncultured bacterium. Its description in RNAcentral is "bacterial SSU rRNA". It matches the Rfam family "Bacterial small subunit ribosomal RNA", at positions 64 to 507 of the family's 1533-position model. The record is from RNAcentral.